This 218-nucleotide long non-coding RNA is filed under the name Monodelphis domestica (gray short-tailed opossum). Its description in RNAcentral is "lncRNA (ENSMODG00000047619.1)". The record is from RNAcentral. Lineage: Eukaryota; Metazoa; Chordata; Mammalia; Didelphimorphia; Didelphidae.
GCACCAACUGCCACCGAAAUGAGCGCCGGAGCGGCCUCAAGGGGAAGGGACAGGAGUAGAGGGAUGGAGGAGCAUAAAGUGUUUACAUGAAAGGUUCUGGCAAAUUGACCUACUUACAGUUCUUCACUCACAAUACUCCAGUUCCUACCUCAGUGACUUCAAAUACCCUUUUCUCCAUCCCUAGAUUCACUCUCAUCUCUGCCUCUUUAAGGAGAUAA